This 107-nucleotide small nuclear RNA is filed under the name Carlito syrichta (Philippine tarsier). Lineage: Eukaryota; Metazoa; Chordata; Mammalia; Primates; Tarsiidae. The record is from RNAcentral.
GUGCUUAUUUGACAGCAUAUCUACUAAAACUGGAAUGAUAACAGAAAAGAUUGGCAUGGACACUACACAAGGAUGAUAUGCAAAUCCAUGAAGCUCUCCAUAUUAUG